This 253-nucleotide ribosomal RNA is filed under the name uncultured bacterium. Its description in RNAcentral is "partial 16S ribosomal RNA". It matches the Rfam family "Bacterial small subunit ribosomal RNA", at positions 524 to 776 of the family's 1533-position model. The record is from RNAcentral.
UACGUAGGGUGCAAGCGUUGUCCGGAAUUAUUGGGCGUAAAGAGCGUGUAGGCGGCCCGAUUAGUCCGUUGUGAAAGUCCAGGGCUCAACCCUGGAAUGCCGGUGGAUACUGUCGGGCUAGAGUCCGGAAGGGGCGAGUGGAAUUCCUGGUGUAGCGGUGAAAUGCGCAGAUAUCAGGAGGAACACCAAUGGCGAAGGCAGCUCGCUGGGACGUGACUGACGCUGAGAAGCGAAAGCAUGGGGAGCAAACAGG